GGUGGUGUCAGUGCUUUAAACAUGUUAAAUGCAGUGUGCUUUGUCGCGCUGUGCUGAUCCGUCCAGAAAACCUGGGGGUAUCGAAAUACUUUCUGCAUUCAAAGACUUAUUCGGAACAAAUGUAUAUUAAUGAGACUACAGCUUGGGACCCGGAAGCUUGUUAUUUUAUUUUGUCACAUGGCUUUGAGAUUUCAAUAACAACAAAAAAUGGCGACAAUCACGUUGUUCGAUGUGGGCUUGCUGCGUCAUAAAGAUAUUCACGUAAACACCUGGGAUACACACGACAUUACGUGUAAGUAUGACUUGCAUAUGACUGGUACUAGUUAUAACAUUCUGUUAUAUUAGUAGCGAAUAUUUAUUUUUGACAUGGUAAGACGUGGUAUUUGUUUUUGACUUGAAAGGGGUGUGUGCGGGCGGUGGUGGUGCUGGGCGUUAGCAUUCCCCUCAGCAGCUAACGUUACGAUUUAACAAGAAAUGUAACGAAUUCUUUAACAGUCGUUGAUUGUAAAUGUCCGAGUUUCGAAAUUAUUCGACUACUAUUGUCAACAAUAAUGAUUAACAACUUGAGGGGUGGUAUGCUGUACCUGAGUGAACUUCUGUAUUAUUUAUAACAGAUUGGUUAACCAACGGCGUGCUAUCAAACAUGUUUAUUUUUUUAGUAGGCUAAAGGAUUUAGUUGAUAGUCCGCUUUACCGUUCAUGUAAGUCACAGUUUUUUUGCCGUUAAUGGAACUGUUGUGACAUACCCCAUGUUUUCCCUAAUUGAGCAGCGUGUGCAUGCAUUUUGCCUGGAUACAGACAGCGCGUAUUUCUUGGAGCUGAUCUAGUGAACAGUCUGUGCAAGGGGUGCGAGACAAGUUGUUUGUCUAGUGUAAGUAAAACUGGCGUGUUACAAGCGAUGCUUCAACUUUAGGCUAAGCAUAUGCUAUUUCAUUAAGGAUUGUAAUAGGCGUUCCCCACUGCUCUGUGAUAGCGAGAAGAGAGAGCUAAUCGAGUUGUUUACAAGAAGCGAUUUGCACGGAGGGCGGGGAGCUUUAGGGAGGAGCCCCAGUGGUCAAGCUACGCGACUGGACUUCCAGAGAAACAUCUAGCUCCGAGGGCGGAGUCCCGUAGACCACAACAAGUCUGACGUAAGCGUGAUGUUAUCAGAGUGCUGAUGCUGUCCAUCUUAAAGGUACAGUACUGUGAUAACUGAAGGAUGGCAGCCAUCUUGACACCACUGAUUCAACAUGGCCUAUGGAGGGCCCUCUCUCACAGCUGGGGAAAAAGGACAUUUUGUCACAAUGUACUGUAAUGUGAACAGUUUUAAUUAAAAUUCAAGAACCACAACCAA
Long non-coding RNA from Alosa alosa (allis shad), 1332 nucleotides. RefSeq lists it as uncharacterized. The record is from RefSeq and is a predicted model, not a curated record. The transcript has 2 exons. Lineage: Eukaryota; Metazoa; Chordata; Actinopteri; Clupeiformes; Clupeidae.